UACGUAGGGCGCAAGCGUUAUCCGGAAUUAUUGGGCGUAAAGAGCUCGUAGGCGGUUUGUCGCGUCUGCCGUGAAAGUCCGGGGCUCAACUCCGGAUCUGCGGUGGGUACGGGCAGACUAGAGUGAUGUAGGGGAGACUGGAAUUCCUGGUGUAGCGGUGAAAUGCGCAGAUAUCAGGAGGAACACCGAUGGCGAAGGCGGGUUGCUGGGCUGAUACUGACGCUGAGGCGCGAAAGCUAGGGGAGCGAACGGG
This 253-nucleotide ribosomal RNA is filed under the name uncultured bacterium. RNAcentral's name for it is "partial 16S ribosomal RNA". It matches the Rfam family "Bacterial small subunit ribosomal RNA", at positions 524 to 776 of the family's 1533-position model. The record is from RNAcentral.